Molecule: ribosomal RNA, 497 nt
Filed under: Neonothopanus nambi
Lineage: Eukaryota; Fungi; Basidiomycota; Agaricomycetes; Agaricales; Omphalotaceae
Description: eukaryotic LSU rRNA
Rfam family: 5.8S ribosomal RNA (bases 38-191)
Source: RNAcentral
CAUUUAUUGGGACUUAACUGGCCCUCUAAACUUAUACAACUUUCAGCAACGGAUCUCUUGGCUCUCGCAUCGAUGAAGAACGCAGCGAAAUGCGAUAAGUAAUGUGAAUUGCAGAAUUCAGUGAAUCAUCGAAUCUUUGAACGCACCUUGCGCCCCUUGGUAUUCCGAGGGGCAUGCCUGUUUGAGUGUCAUUAAAUUCUCAACCUCACAAGUUUUGUAGCUUCUGAGGCUUGGAUUGUGGAGGCUUGCUGGCAUCUAAGAUGCAUUUGGCUCCUCUUAAAAGCAUUAGUAGAAACCAAUUGUUGGACUACCUUUGGUGUGAUAAUUAUCUACGCCUUGGUGUUCUAUCUGACAAAAGGGUGUCUUUGGGGGGGAUAGAGGCAAAAGAGAGUUUGCUCUGUCUGUUUUAACUGUCAAAGAGGCUUUGGGGGGUGUCUGCUCUCUAACUGUCUGUUUGACGGACAACUAAUUGAUUUGUUGACCUCAAAUCAGGUAGG